Molecule: long non-coding RNA, 1124 nt
Organism: Gossypium arboreum
Lineage: Eukaryota; Viridiplantae; Streptophyta; Magnoliopsida; Malvales; Malvaceae
Exons: 3
Source: RefSeq, a predicted model, not a curated record
UCAUCGGUUACAAUUCCCAGCCCACCAAUCAACUUUUCUUCUGCGUCAAUUUUAUUAGUCGAAUGGGCAGUGCCUUGAAAGUAACAGAAUUAAAAAAUUGGGGAUAACUCAUAUCUAAAAACCAAAAUAGAUUUCUAAAGGAAAACAAAACCAAAAAUAGUAAAGAAAUGAACCAUCUUCCUUUCCAUUUCGCUAAUUCGAUCAUUACAUCACAAACACACCAGAGGCAGUCCUGUUUUCCUCCUGUUGAUCUUGGGUAUGCUUCCGUUUACGGCUCGAUCCCUCUAUGACAAUCUGAGUUCAUCGAAGUCCAAAUAGUCAUAGUUCUUUCGGUCUCAGUAACCUCAUUCUUCAUCCCUCUCAUUGUAGUCCAUGUCAAUCUUGAUUUAAUAGUUCUUUCACUCUCUUCAGAGCCUCUUCUAUCCAAUAUUUGGGGUUUUCAUAACGCCUACCUUCCUCUGCCAAACUUCAUUAGCUUUCUAAGGUUUCAAACAUGCUCGCGCUUUUUCCAUGGUUGAUUUUAACACGCUCAUUCAGUGCCGCAGAUGUUAGCUAGAGUUGGAGCUCGCCGGAGGUUAAAUCAUAUUAUCAAACUAUUGGUCGAUAUAUAAAGGUUUUAAAGCAUGAUAUGAGCCUUGUAAGUUUUUUUUUAAGGGACAGCUUGAAUAUGUUUGAAAAGUUUAAAAUUUGAUGAAAUUUUAUGUCUCGGUUUUAAAUGAUUACAAGUACUCAAGUCUAGUAAUACCUCGUACCCUGUUCCGGCGUCGGAUACGGGUAAGGGGAGUUACAUUUAGUGGUAUCAAAACUAUGGUUUAGUCGGUUCUCGGACUAAUCUAGCAUGUGUAAGAGUUAAGCUAUACAUGCCAUAUUACUACCUGUGAUAGUGUGAUGCCUCCCGAUCCCGAUGAAAUAGUUCUGUUGAGACAGAAGUGUUUUCCAACCGAGCUACCAUCGACAGUGUAAAAAGGGGUUAAGUAAGUUCAUAUAAUUUGGUGGAUAUAUUGGUGUACUUAAAAAUUGAUCUUGGUCACUUGUGAUGAUAUGUGUGAGAUCAAGUGUAAAAUGAAAUAGACAUAGAGAAAUAUAGAAAAGUGAAAAGAAACGAAAGUUUACAUCGUUAUAAA